UCGGGAUAGCUCAGCGNGGYAGAGCAAAGGACUGAAAAUCCUCCG
RNAcentral lists this transfer RNA (45 nucleotides) under Didelotia unifoliolata. Its description in RNAcentral is "partial tRNA-Phe". Lineage: Eukaryota; Viridiplantae; Streptophyta; Magnoliopsida; Fabales; Fabaceae. The record is from RNAcentral.